UGGACCCAGCGAGAUAAUCUUUCAAGAAACCAUUCUUCACAAGCUCGUCCAACUGAUAGCCCAUCGCCAAGCAGUUGUUAAUAUGGUGCCCAAACGCCUCGUGGAAUUCGCACCAUGAUUCCUUGUGAGGCCCCAGAAUUUUGUCAGACUUUACUGGUGGCCUCAACCUGUCAGCUAUGUUGGGCACAACGAUGAGGUCUUUGAGUUCCACCCUAAAGUUGUGCCUUAGUGGUCUACUUCCUUCUCUCCUUCCUUCGGCUCGACCCCUUGGCGGGGCCCUCCUUGUCUCAUAAGUGCGCUUUCUGUCUGAGUUCCUUUUCUCUGUGGCAGCUUCGUGGACCCUAGCAGGUUGUGUGCGUAUCUGCGCCUUUGGUCGCGCGGGUGCAGCAAUCGU
This 394-nucleotide long non-coding RNA is filed under the name Phaseolus vulgaris (common bean). RNAcentral's name for it is "long non-coding RNA (PVUL_LNC005065)". The record is from RNAcentral. Lineage: Eukaryota; Viridiplantae; Streptophyta; Magnoliopsida; Fabales; Fabaceae.